Molecule: ribosomal RNA, 497 nt
Filed under: uncultured bacterium
Lineage: Bacteria
Description: partial 16S ribosomal RNA
Rfam family: Bacterial small subunit ribosomal RNA
Source: RNAcentral
GAUGAACGCUGGCGGCGUGCCUAAUACAUGCAAGUCGAGCGAACGGACGAGAAGCUUGCUUCUCUGAUGUUAGCGGCGGACGGGUGAGUAACACGUGGAUAACCUACCUAUAAGACUGGGAUAACUUCGGGAAACCGGAGCUAAUACCGGAUGAUAUUUUGAACCGCAUGGUUCAAAAGUGAAAGACGGUCUUGCUGUCACUUAUAGAUGGAUCCGCGCUGCAUUAGCUAGUUGGUAAGGUAAUGGCUUACCAAGGCAACGAUGCAUAGCCGACCUGAGAGGGUGAUCGGCCACACUGGAACUGAGACACGGUCCAGACUCCUACGGGAGGCAGCAGUAGGGAAUCUUCUGCAAUGGGCGAAAGCCUGACGGAGCAACGCCGCGUGAGUGAUGAAGGUCUUCGGAUCGUAAAACUCUGUUAUUAGGGAAGAACAUAUGUGUAAGUAACUGUGCACAUCUUGACGGUACCUAAUCAGAAAGCCACGGCUAACUACGUG